UGGCUCAGAUGGUAAAGCCUCUGCCUGCAAUGCAGGAGACCCGGGUUCGAACCCUGG
Non-coding RNA from Bos taurus (domestic cattle), 57 nucleotides. The record is from Rfam. NCBI's taxonomy places the organism in Eukaryota, Metazoa, Chordata, Mammalia, Artiodactyla, Bovidae.